UGAGGAGGAUAGUCGCUGGUUUUUUUUAGUAUUUAUUGCUAUCAUGAAAACGAGAGGAAAGUCUGGGCUCCAUGAGAGAAUAGUAACGGUGAAAAACCGCCAUCCGUAAGGAUAGGGCUAGUGCCAAAGAGAAAAUAAACCGCCUGUAUAGGUAAGGGUGAAAAGAUAUGGUAAGAUCAUAUCAUGGUUAUAGAAAUAUAAUUCAUAGGCAAACCCUACUAGGUGAAAUACCAAAAGUUGCCAAUUGCUUUUAGCAAAACGACUCUCACGUAGGCAAAGGUAGGUAGAUUGAAAUUAUAAGUAAUUAUAAUUCUAGAUUAAUGAUUAUCACAACAGAACUCAGUGUACGUCCUCAC
Molecule: RNase P RNA, 356 nt
Filed under: bovine gut metagenome
Description: Bacterial RNase P class A
Rfam family: Bacterial RNase P class A
About the family: Ribonuclease P (RNase P) is a ubiquitous endoribonuclease, found in archaea, bacteria and eukarya as well as chloroplasts and mitochondria. Its best characterised activity is the generation of mature 5'-ends of tRNAs by cleaving the 5'-leader elements of precursor-tRNAs.
Source: RNAcentral